GCCCCGGUAGCUCAACGGACGAGCGCCGGCCUCCGAUGCCGGGGGAUGGAGGUUCGAGUCCUCCUCGGGGCA
This 72-nucleotide transfer RNA is filed under the name Gemmatimonadales bacterium. Its description in RNAcentral is "tRNA-Arg". It matches the Rfam family "tRNA". Rfam says of the family: Transfer RNA (tRNA) molecules are approximately 80 nucleotides in length. Their secondary structure includes four short double-helical elements and three loops (D, anti-codon, and T loops). Further hydrogen bonds mediate the characteristic L-shaped molecular structure. tRNAs have two regions of fundamental functional importance: the anti-codon, which is responsible for specific mRNA codon recognition, and the 3' end, to which the tRNAs corresponding amino acid is attached (by aminoacyl-tRNA synthetases). tRNAs cope with the degeneracy of the genetic code in two manners: having more than one tRNA (with a specific anti-codon) for a particular amino acid; and 'wobble' base-pairing, i.e. permitting non-standard base-pairing at the 3rd anti-codon position. The record is from RNAcentral. Lineage: Bacteria; Pseudomonadati; Gemmatimonadota; Gemmatimonadia; Gemmatimonadales.